AGUGAACGCUGGCGGUAGGCCUAACACAUGCAAGUCGAACGGCAGCACAGUAAGAGCUUGCUCUUACGGGUGGCGAGUGGCGGACGGGUGAGGCAUACAUCGGAAUCUACUUUUUCGUGGGGGAUAACGUAGGGAAACUUACGCUAAUACCGCAUACGACCUACGGGUGAAAGCAGGGGAUCUUCGGACCUUGCGCGAUUGAAUGAGCCGAUGUCGGAUUAGCUAGUUGGCGGGGUAAGGGCCCACCAAGGCGACGAUCCGUAGCUGGUCUGAGAGGAUGAUCAGCCACACUGGAACUGAGACACGGUCCAGACUCCUACGGGAGGCAGCAGUGGGGAAUAUUGGACAAUGGGCGCAAGCCUGAUCCAGCCAUACCGCGUGGGUGAAGAAGGCCUUCGGGUUGUAAAGCCCUUUUGUUGGGAAAGAAAAGCAGCAGGUUAAUACCCCGCUGUUCUGACGGUACCCAAAGAAUAAGCACCGGCUAACUUCGUG
Molecule: ribosomal RNA, 492 nt
Filed under: uncultured bacterium
Lineage: Bacteria
Description: partial 16S ribosomal RNA
Rfam family: Bacterial small subunit ribosomal RNA
Source: RNAcentral